AAAGGAAUUGACGGGGAGCACCACAACGGGUGGAGCUUGCGGUUUAAUUGGUAUUCAACGCCGGAAAUCUUACCGGGACCGACAGCAAUAUGAAGGCCAGGCUGAAGACUUUGCCGGAUUAGCUGAGAGGUGGUGCAUGGCCGUCGUCAGUUCGUACUGUGAAGCAUCCUGUUAAGUCAGGCAACGAGCGAGACCCACGCCCACAGUUGCCAGCGUACUCUCUGGAGUGACGGGUACACUGUGGGACCGCCGCUGCUAAAGCGGAGGAAGGAAUGGGCAACGGUAGGUCAGUAUGCCCCGAAUAUCCCGGGCUACACGCGAGCUACAAUGGUUGGUACAAUGGGUAUCUACCCCGAAAGGGGACGGGAAUCUCCUAAAACCAAUCUUAGUUCGGAUUGAGGGCUGCAACUCGCCCUCAUGAAGCUGGAAUCCGUAGUAAUCGCGUUUCAACAGAACGCGGUGAAUACGUCCCUGCUCCUU
RNAcentral lists this ribosomal RNA (480 nucleotides) under uncultured Methanosaeta sp. RNAcentral's name for it is "bacterial SSU rRNA". It matches the Rfam family "Archaeal small subunit ribosomal RNA", at positions 858 to 1338 of the family's 1478-position model. The record is from RNAcentral. Lineage: Archaea; Methanobacteriati; Methanobacteriota; Methanomicrobia; Methanotrichales; Methanotrichaceae.